Molecule: ribosomal RNA, 460 nt
Filed under: uncultured bacterium
Lineage: Bacteria
Description: partial 16S ribosomal RNA
Rfam family: Bacterial small subunit ribosomal RNA
Source: RNAcentral
CCUACGGGGGGCAGCAGUGAGGAAUAUUGGUCAAUGGGCUUACGCCUGAACCAGCCAAGUCGCGUGAGGGAAGACUGCCCUAUGGGUUGUAAACCUCUUUUGUCAGGGAGCAAUUGGCGCUACGUGUAGCGUUAUCGAGAGUACCUGAAGAAAAAGCAUCGGCUAACUCCGUGCCAGCAGCCGCGGUAAUACGGAGGAUGCGAGCGUUAUCCGGAUUUAUUGGGUUUAAGGGGUGCGUAGGCGGAAUGCCAAGUCAGCGGUAAAAUCGCGGGGCUCAACCUCGCUCCGCCGUUGAAACUGGCGGUCUUGAGUGGGCGAGAAGUAUGCGGAAUGCGGGGUGUAGCGGUGAAAUGCAUAGAUAUCACGCAGAACUCCGAUUGCGAAGGCAGCAUACCGGCGCCCAACUGACGCUGAAGCACGAAAGCGUGGGUAUCGAACAGGAUUAGAUACCCCUGUAGUC